RNAcentral lists this small nuclear RNA (304 nucleotides) under Meriones unguiculatus (Mongolian gerbil). RNAcentral describes it as "7SK RNA (ENSMUGG00000025469.1)". It matches the Rfam family "7SK RNA". Rfam says of the family: 7SK was discovered as an abundant small nuclear RNA in the mid-70s but a possible function has only recently been suggested. Two independent studies have found that 7SK RNA binds the CDK9/cyclin T complex (known as elongation factor P-TEFb). The record is from RNAcentral. Lineage: Eukaryota; Metazoa; Chordata; Mammalia; Rodentia; Muridae.
GGAUGUGAGGGUGAUCUGGCUGUGACAUCUGUCACACCACUGGUUGCCAGGGUUGCUUUGGUUGAUCUGGCUGGCUGGGUGCUCAGCCAUCCCCACCGCUCUGUGCUUCUCUCCCAAAGCUAUGUGCUCAGUUAGGAGAGGCAGCCUUCCCUGGGAGGACUCAUCUCCAGUCAAGGCUGUUGAGUAGUUGCGUUCUCUUGUUAGAGUCUGCAAGCAAGCUCUCAAGCAGGGGACGUAUGUAAGGCGAAAGCCACUGAAGGGCAGGGCCUUCCAGGUCUGAUUUAUACAGUGUACUCCUCUACCU